UCAGAUACAAAAGAGGCCUUUCUGAGAAGAAGAUAGCUGAGGAAGCAAGGAAGGCAAAGAAAGCCAGAAUUGGAGAAACCUCUGGCACCAAAGCUUCAGCACCUCUGAAUGUCUCCUCUGGUAAGUCCAUUCCUCCUGUCUCUUCUGAAUCUGUAAUGGCUUCCUCUAACCCUCUCUCCUCUCAACCAAUUUUUACAACCUCAGAAAUACCACCUUCUACCAUUAGAACCUCUCAACCUCCACCUGUUCUAAAAAUUGCCCGUACUUUUACAACAACCUCUGACCCUAAUCAACUAUAUCACCACAGUUCUUCAUCAUCCUCUGAUUAUGAAUCACCCCCUUACCUUUCCCCUUCUUCUGACCAAGAGUUCUCUGAUCAUGAGUCCUCUGAUCAAGAACACUCUGACCCAAACUCCC
RNAcentral lists this long non-coding RNA (417 nucleotides) under Lathyrus oleraceus (garden pea). RNAcentral describes it as "Pisum sativum (pea) long non-coding RNA (PSAT_LNC022768)". The record is from RNAcentral. Lineage: Eukaryota; Viridiplantae; Streptophyta; Magnoliopsida; Fabales; Fabaceae.